Molecule: ribosomal RNA, 1373 nt
Filed under: uncultured bacterium
Lineage: Bacteria
Description: bacterial SSU rRNA
Rfam family: Bacterial small subunit ribosomal RNA
Source: RNAcentral
GAUGAACGCUGGCGGCGUGCCUAAUACAUGCAAGUCGAGCGAACGGACGAGAAGCUUGCUUCUCUGAUGUUAGCGGCGGACGGGUGAGUAACACGUGGAUAACCUACCUAUAAGACUGGGAUAACUUCGGGAAACCGGAGCUAAUACCGGAUAAUAUUUUGAACCGCAUGGUUCAAAAGUGAAAGACGGUCUUGCUGUCACUUAUAGAUGGAUCCGCGCUGCAUUAGCUAGUUGGUAAGGUAACGGCUUACCAAGGCAACGAUGCAUAGCCGACCUGAGAGGGUGAUCGGCCACACUGGAACUGAGACACGGUCCAGACUCCUACGGGAGGCAGCAGUAGGGAAUCUUCCGCAAUGGGCGAAAGCCUGACGGAGCAACGCCGCGUGAGUGAUGAAGGUCUUCGGAUCGUAAAACUCUGUUAUUAGGGAAGAACAUAUGUGUAAGUAACUGUGCACAUCUUGACGGUACCUAAUCAGAAAGCCACGGCUAACUACGUGCCAGCAGCCGCGGUAAUACGUAGGUGGCAAGCGUUAUCCGGAAUUAUUGGGCGUAAAGCGCGCGUAGGCGGUUUUUUAAGUCUGAUGUGAAAGCCCACGGCUCAACCGUGGAGGGUCAUUGGAAACUGGAAAACUUGAGUGCAGAAGAGGAAAGUGGAAUUCCAUGUGUAGCGGUGAAAUGCGCAGAGAUAUGGAGGAACACCAGUGGCGAAGGCGACUUUCUGGUCUGUAACUGACGCUGAUGUGCGAAAGCGUGGGGAUCAAACAGGAUUAGAUACCCUGGUAAUCCACGCCGUAAACGAUGAGUGCUAAGUGUUAGGGGGUUUCCGCCCCUUAGUGCUGCAGCUAACGCAUUAAGCACUCCGCCUGGGGAGUACGACCGCAAGGUUGAAACUCAAAGGAAUUGACGGGGACCCGCACAAGCGGUGGAGCAUGUGGUUUAAUUCGAAGCAACGCGAAGAACCUUACCAAAUCUUGACAUCCUUUGACAACUCUAGAGAUAGAGCCUUCCCCUUCGGGGGGGCAAAGUGACAGGUGGUGCAUGGUUGUCGUCAGCUCGUGUCGUGAGAUGUUGGGUUAAGUCCCGCAACGAGCGCAACCCUUAAGCUUAGUUGCCAUCAUUAAGUUGGGCACUCUAAGUUGACUGCCGGUGACAAACCGGAGGAAGGUGGGGAUGACGUCAAAUCAUCAUGCCCCUUAUGAUUUGGGCUACACACGUGCUACAAUGGACAAUACAAAGGGCAGCGAAACCGCGAGGUCAAGCAAAUCCCAUAAAGUUGUUCUCAGUUCGGAUUGUAGUCUGCAACUCGACUACAUGAAGCUGGAAUCGCUAGUAAUCGUAGAUCAGCAUGCUACGGUGAAUACGUUCCCGGGUCU